This is a non-coding RNA of Heterocephalus glaber (naked mole-rat), 4223 nucleotides long. The record is from RefSeq and is a predicted model, not a curated record. Lineage: Eukaryota; Metazoa; Chordata; Mammalia; Rodentia; Bathyergidae.
CCAUUUGCCCGUCCACCGGCGUCGUCAGCAGAGCAGUGCCGGUGCUGCCCUCAGAGGCUGGGCAGGAGCAGCCGCGCAUGGCACCCCCAGAAGGUCAGGGGGGCCCCGCUCAGCAGGACCGUCAGGAGCAGGCAAGAAUAUCUGCCCAGCACCUGCUGCGCCCCACCGACCAGGGCCGGGAUGUCAGUCACAGGCCAGGCACAAUCACCGGGUCUCAGAAUCUCAGCCACGGCACGUGUUCAACCCCAGGUCCUGGCUGACUCGGCCACAGCUUGGGGCCCUUGUCCAGGCCAGCACUCCUUCCGGGACACCCCACACCCAGGGCAUAGCCAAGCGGCGACGCAGAGAAACUGGAGCCUGGAAGCCGUCGGCCGAGGAAGUGGCCAUGAUGACAGACAGAAAGCACAGAGUGAGCCUGGGCUCUGCUCCUCUCUGGGAUGGCCGGCAGGAAACGGCGGGGCCAGGAGAGGCAGCGGUGGGGGUUUGGGGUAAUUAACUGCCGAGCCCCGGAGGGCCGAGCCACAGUGAGAGGGGGUGCCCAGGACCCUCUGUGCUGUGUGCAGGCUCCAGGUCCCCUGCCGCUCCCACCUGGGCAGUGGAGGUUUUCUGGAUAUAGAUUCAUCACCCAGAAAGUUGUUCAUGCGAUUGGAAGAGCCCCGGGCGUCACUUCCUAAGGGAGUGGGGCCUUGGAUCAAAAUGCCACGGCCAAAUCUAGCCUCGAGCUCCCCACAGGACAGGCUGGGGCACUGGGUGUCAUGCUUGAGUGCCACACACCCUGCGGACACCGCUGAGGUCCCAGGGCCCAUGCUCCAGGCCCGGCACUGGGGUGACGCUGCUGUGUGUCCAUUUGCUAAGGAGCAUGUGGGUGGUCGGCAAGGGGGUUUGCAAAUGCCAGCUGCGUUGCCCCUGUCAGGACUGUUGCUGUGCAUCGGAAGAUCCUGUUCAGAUGUGGAACCAGCAUGGCCACCGGACGCUGCAGGCUGCCUCGGGCGCCUGCCCACAGCAGGUGUCUUUAUUCCCAUGUGUGUGGCCCCAACAGCACAGGCUGCUGGUGCUGGUCCAAGGGGCCAUCCUGGGGAAGUGGCCCUUCCUCAGCACUCCCUGGAGACAUCCUCGGAGAGGAUCCGGGUGUCAAGGAGCCCCAGGGACGCCCUGGAGGGUUUUCUCUGUACCGGUGGGGACGCUGGGUAUGAGACGAGAGGUACAGCUGGCGAGGAUGGGGUACCAGGGCCUGGAGGGGAAGGAGGAACCUUCCAGCUCACAUCAGUGUUGUCCCGGAUGCAGCCCAGAGGCCGGCUCCGCCAGCCUCCCAGGGCCCAGCGGAGGGCAGAGGCAGUGGCCAGCAUGUCUGUCCGUCUCCACUGCCCUUAGCCUUUCCGGCCUGGUUCUUGUCUGUCCACUGGCCACUGUGCACAGUGACCACGGGCAGCAGUGACGAAUGGCUGGUGUCAAGGCCUGUCAUGCCAGCGGGGUCCUGGGGGAAAUGCAAGGGACUCUCAAAACAGCUUUAUUACCAACCUGUGGCCGCAGGAUGAUCAAUCAAACUGAUCAGUGGUGGCAAGCGUGGUGAGGGAUGGGAGGCAGAUGCCGGCCUCUCAGUGUGGGCUCCACGCUGAACUUGACCCGUGUCUGACCCUUGUGCCUGUGUGCACCUUCCAUUCCCAGCCGGCUGGGGUGGCGGGGUGACGGGAAAGGUGGGCAGCCCAGGGGUCUGUCGGGCAGGCACAGGAGCUGCCGUUCAGGAGGAAGAGAGGCGGCCGGAAACUCGGGACCCUUCUUGGCUGUGGCCCGACUCGCGGGCCCUGGGAAGUGCCCGGACAGGGGUCCGACUGGGCUCUGUAGACAACGGGACAUGGACCCCAAGCUCCCGCAGGCCAGGGGCUGGGGCCCCUCGGGGACAGACACUGAAGGAGCCGAGGUCUUCUGGCUCCCGGCCAAGGUGGCUCUGGCCCUGGCUGGUCUCGGCCUCGUACCACCAGCGAGCGGGCUGGCUACCGCUGCAGGGGCCUGAGCUGUCCGGCUGCUUCCCGGCUUCCUUUCUUCUUCCUUCUUCCUGUCCUUUUUCCUUUCCUUUCCUCUUCCUUCUUCCCUUCCUUCCUUUCUUCUUUUCUCCCUUCCCUUCUUUUCUUCUUCCCUCCCUUCCUUCAGGGCCCCAGAGGCUCCUCCAAGGCUGGCUGCUGCCUGAGUGGCUGCCCAGCCAGGUCCCUGAGCUGGGACAGCCUGCAGAGAGCCCCUGGUGGGACUGGGUGGAGGAGAACCAGGCGGAGUGAACCAGACCCUUCUUGGGGAAGAGACUGCAGCACAGGAUCUUUUAGCCAGAUACACUGUGAGGAAAAAUAAACCUGCCUCCCAGAACGCAGCCUUCCAGCCACCCGUCCUUGGAGCACCUCGACUCUGGGCUUGGGCAGGUCCCGGCCGUGGGUGAUCAACACUGCCAGUGUCCGGAGACCAAAGCUGGGGAACGUAAGCAGCUCGGCAGCAUGAGGGGCUCUGUGGCGGGUGUGCUCCAGGGACACCCCAGGGACACCCCAGGGACACCGGGCCUCAGGAAAGGGAAGCCUUGUCGGGCACAAUGCAGUGGGCUCAGGAGGGACCUCGAGGCCCAGCCCCCACUCAAGGGCAGCCGCGGCCAGCUGUGCAGUGGGCACAGUGGCCGAAUCUCCUCUGCCCUCUGGUUGGUCUUGUGGACCAUGUGUCACCCUCAGCAAAUGGGCACCCCAAGCGCAGCAAAAGGCCCCUGGAGCCCACAGUGUCCUCCCUCACGGGGACCAGACGGGGUUCCAGAGGGAUGGGAGGUGGUAGGGCCAGAGGUGGCAUCCACUGUGCUCACGUGCCCCAAACUGCCACACCCCAAGCGCUGCCCUGUGCCAUGUCCCCACCCCCUGGACAGGCCCACCAAGCCCUUCCCGGCUCUCUCUGGGGGUCGUGCAGAAGGGCACGGGUGGUGGAGAGGCCUUGGAGGCAGCCGUGAACAGGGGCAUGGCAGGGUCUGUGGUGCCCGCGGAGGGCUCCCGCCACUUUCUCAUGCCCGGCACCCUUGCUCCUUCCCGGUAACUUGUUAGAGCGCCUGUCAAGCCCAGGGCUGACAGGCUGAUGUUACUCACUUGGCUGGAUUCUGGAAAACUCAGCCUCAUUUGCCAGGCAAAAUUAACGAGAAAAGAAAGCCCUAAACGAGAUAGUAAUUUAUGACUUCCACUGGGCCUGUCCCUCGGUCCCGGCGCAGAACGGCAGGUCUCAUCUGAAAACACUGCCCGCUGGAGAUGGGGCUGGCUCUGCCAAGUGUGCCCGAGGCCCACUGGAUCCUGGCCUCUCCCCGGAGGGGCCUUGGGGGACCUGCGGCUCCACAUUGCCAUCUACACAGUGGUAGCUCUUGGGGCACCAGGGGUUCACAAUACCCACUUCCAAAUCUCAAGCUCAAAAGAGUGCCCCAAGGGUGUUUAUGGAUCCUGCAUCCCCAGAGCAGGCGCCCAUGCCUGGCGCUGGCUGCUAAAGGACUGGGGCCCAGGACCCACAUCCCAGCGGGGCUUCUCCCUGCUCCAAGCCCUCGCUGCCACAGCCCCCCUCCAUACACACACAGGAGAAGAAUGUAACGGGAAAGCCAGCCAUGCAGCAGCAGCAGCAGCAAAAUAACCCUUUGCUAAUGGCUACCAAACUUGCUGAGUGUCACUUCUAGCUACUCUGUGCAGGGAGGGCGUGCAAUGAUCAUGCAGCUCACAGACAAGGCCUCUCUCCGGCAGGAGCCGACAUGACAGGGCCUGGAAGGCAGGUGCUACUGUAAUUAGCUAUUGUUUGACUAUCAAAAGUCAGGGCUGAUUAAAGCCACUAAGCACAAGUGCACUAUUUUAUUUCAAAGAAUAUUAUGAACUGCACGCUGAGGCCCUUUCAGAGCGGACCUUCCUUCCGCAGCCGGCUAAGAGCCCAUGCCAGCAGUAAUCAAACGCAAAAUCUGCAUAAACCUUCAGGGUUUAAUUCAAGCAGAGACCUUUCAUUAGAAAUAUGUUACUUUAUGAAAUCUGGUCGCCAGCAAGGGGAGAAAAAUGUGACUUCUUAAGAAAAGUGAAUGGCACCUCUUUAGUGAUUAACCCAAGAUUAAUGGAGGCCCCCACUGCUCGGCCUAAGUCCGUUUUAUUGCUAAUUCAUUUAGGUACCAUUUCAGAUACGCCUGAUGAAAGUUACCUGCCAGGGCGUCAGGUUUUGGCAAGCGAGGAUAGCCAUUAUGGGCA